This is a long non-coding RNA of Haplochromis burtoni (Burton's mouthbrooder), 3223 nucleotides long. RefSeq lists it as uncharacterized. NCBI's taxonomy places the organism in Eukaryota, Metazoa, Chordata, Actinopteri, Cichliformes, Cichlidae. The transcript has 5 exons. The record is from RefSeq and is a predicted model, not a curated record.
CAGACAAUUUGACUUUCAACAAGUCUAUAUAUAUUGGAAAUGUCAGAAGAGAAGAUGCUGGGAAAUAUACCUGCUGGAUGAGUAGCUGUGUCGGACACAGUAUUAAGCGAGUCACUAUCAAUUUGUGUGUAGUUACAGUAUAUGACAGUAAGGAUUCAUCUGCAUCUUGCGAUGUGACGUGCGGCAUGAAAUCAAAUAAUCCAAACAGAACUUCAACCACAUCUGUGCCUGUACAUCCACACGGGUCCCUUAAGUGCAAUAUAGAUUCAGUGUUUGAUGGAUACACUACAGUUGCUACCACUCACACAUCAUCAUUUAGCACAAGAACAGGUUUUCAAAAAGAGCCUGAAGACUGGAUCCCACUUAUUUGUGGUAUAUCAGUAUCAUGUGUCAUUUUAAUGGCACUUACAAUUUUUUGCUUCAAAUCAAGAUUACAUUCAGCAUUUCCUGUUCAAAUUUGUUGCUGUGGCUUGAAUAGCAGGGUGGAAGAAGAGUCUUCAGUGAUUUAUUCAUCAAUUAUCAUCAGGACACCGGGCAAAAGAAUUAAUCACAUGACCUCUAGUGAUUGUGUUUAUUGUGAAAUAAAAGUAUAGAGAAAAAAGUCCAGGAUAAGUGCAGUCACUUUUAUUUAUAUAGCACAUUUUAAAACAAUAUGGAUUGGUCCAAAGUGCUUUUCAGUUGACUGUUAAAAUAGGUAAGGUCAUUAAAGGGCACUGGUUAGAAUUAUACUUUCCAUCCUUGCUGUCAUUUGAUUUAGUAACUGAUUCCUCAAAUUACUUAAAUUGUAACUUCACCCACACGCUUGUCAAGGGGAAAAUCUGAAACCAUGAGUCUUUUUUUCCAACAAAGGAAUGAUUUCUAAUCGAAUCUUUAACUUAACUUUUACCUAAUUCUCUGAAGGCAGGGCGGGUGUUCUAAAGUACAUGGAUCGAGAUAAUUUUAAUGAGAAGCUUUCAGUGCGAUACAGAUGUUAUGUAACAACAUUUUUUUGUUGUUGCUCAGUACAGAGGUGAGGUCCAUUCAUGAACUGCAUGAAAGCACAGUUUCUGAUUACCUUGCAGAUCAAGUUAAGAUAAAACAAAUGUAGGUAAAGAAGUUCUUUAAAGUUGACAUCAAAAUGUUACGGCAAUUAAAUGCUGCUUUCACAAAGAGGAACAUUAUUAGGUACAUUAAUUUACUGGAGCUCAUCAAUUGAAACAAAUUUAUAAACAAUUUUUUUUGUUGUUAAAAGAAAAAAAAUACUUUUUACGCUAAAUUUAUUUUACAGCUGUAUUUUGUCUUGCAGUUUUAGGUUUUACAUAAUCACCAUAUAAAAUAUGACCACAGUAAAAAAGCAUCUAAGCAAAAGGUUGCAUAAAGAAGGCUGUUAAAAGUGUUAAAACCACAGCAGUACUGCGUCUGCAGUGUUAAUCAAUAAUGAGCAUCAGUGAUAGUAAAACAAUAACACCCUGCAGACAAAAGGUUGUUGUACGAUUAUUACUGUGAGCAAUAUGUGUGUUCAUACUGUGAGGACAUUCUGCUGAGGAUAGUCACUGAAAAUAAUAUUUUGGAUUCUUUUAUUUGUUAAAGUGUUUUAUGCAAAGUAAAGUAUACAAAAAAGUGAAAACAAUAGAAAAAUAGUCUUAAGAAAUAAACCAAAACUCACUAAAUGUGUUUUUUAAAAAAGCAACAGACAUUAAAGAAAAUAAAGGAAAUGUUUUAACUUUUGGUGUUUAGUCAAAGAUGGAAACAAAGAGGAGGCUGUGGUGAAAAUGACUGAGUCAAAUGUGUUGUACUGUACUGUUUUACUUAUAUUUGACCUAUGUCACUAAUACCACCCACAUCAUAAAAACAAAAACUCAGACACAGAAACUAAUAAAAUGUAAACUUAACAUUUAACAAUUAAAAACCAAACUGAAAUCAGAAAAUCCACCCUGAAAACUAAAAUAACAUCAAAUUCAAAGGUGGAAAAUCCUAAACUAAAAUAACAAUGGCAGUGUUAAUAGCAGUCAUCUCCGCAUAGCCUAAAUUGAAAACAAUUUGAGUACCUCACCCACUUUUUUUAUACACAACACCAACCCACAGAGUCAGACAGGACAUGACACACAGGACAAACCACUACAUCACGAUCUGUCAUUGGUGGCGGUGUGCACAGCUCUAAUGAAAACAAACCCAAAUAAGGCAGCUGGCCCAAAUAAUAUCCCCAGGCAUGCACUCAGGGUCUGCUCAUAAAAGCUGGAUGGUGUAUUCAUAGACAUAUACAAUCUGCCCAUCCUUUAAGUCCAUCACCAGUGUGCCCCUCUCUAAGAAACAUACUGGUAGUGGAUUUAAACGACUAUCAUCCUUUUGGACUCACACCAAUCAUGAUGAAGUAUUUAGAAAGGAUCAAAAAGACUGUCCUGGCUACCAUGGACUCUUUACUUUAUGCAUGUGCGUGUAACACCACAGUGCAUCAGUCUACUAGUGAGUCACCAUUUGCUCUGAUGUUUGGCUGAGAUCGCCAGCUACCUGUUGAGUUUUUGUUGGGUAGGAUUCAGGAGCCUGUGGUUGGUAGCACCCAUCAUUGGAUUGCAGAGCAUCAGACUCGGCUAUGUCAUGCUUUUGAACAUGCUAAUAAACGCUUGGAGGCUGCAGCUAUUUGGCGUAUGACAUGUCACAACCAGCAUGUGAGGGAUGCUCCCCUGCAAGAAGGUCAGUUGACUUACCUUAAGGAGGUUGGGCUUAGAGGCCGUCAUAAAAUUUAGGAUGUUUGGAGUUCAGUGGUGUAUCAAGUGCUACAGGCCCCAGACCAAAAUGGAUCAGUUUACACUGUUACUCUGUCGGAUAACCUUAGUCACGUGAAACAUGUCCACCGUUCACUACUAAAGAAUAAGGUGGAGUAUGUGACUACUUGUCCUCCCAGUACUCCAAUCCAACUAUUAGAAACUAUGCAAGGUGGUGAGUGGUUUUUAUUGGUUUAUGAACCUACUCCAGCCCCAAGCAAUUGCCAACAAAGACAGGAGACCCCUACCUCCUGCAUACCAAGUGAGCCAAAACCCUCAACGUCCUCUGUGGUGCUGGUCUGCACCGAUCAGCUGCCAGUUACGGCUGGUGUUCAAAAUAAUAUUGCUUCUUCACAUAGGACUACUUGUGCUAAUGCUGGGACGCACUCGAAUCGGCAUCAUCUGCCCCAGGCAAUAGGAAGUAGAACAACAGGGGCUGUGAACUCCCAGGCACCUGUGCCUAAUACAUCUACCCUGUUUAG